UCCGAAUUGGUGUAGUGGCUAACAUUUGACGCUCUCAAGUCCAUCAUUCCGUGAUGUGAAAAGUCCCGUCAAGCCCGGGGUUCGAUUCCCCGAUUCGGAG
This 100-nucleotide transfer RNA is filed under the name Xylaria sp. FL1777. Its description in RNAcentral is "tRNA-Glu". It matches the Rfam family "tRNA". Rfam says of the family: Transfer RNA (tRNA) molecules are approximately 80 nucleotides in length. Their secondary structure includes four short double-helical elements and three loops (D, anti-codon, and T loops). Further hydrogen bonds mediate the characteristic L-shaped molecular structure. tRNAs have two regions of fundamental functional importance: the anti-codon, which is responsible for specific mRNA codon recognition, and the 3' end, to which the tRNAs corresponding amino acid is attached (by aminoacyl-tRNA synthetases). tRNAs cope with the degeneracy of the genetic code in two manners: having more than one tRNA (with a specific anti-codon) for a particular amino acid; and 'wobble' base-pairing, i.e. permitting non-standard base-pairing at the 3rd anti-codon position. The record is from RNAcentral. Lineage: Eukaryota; Fungi; Ascomycota; Sordariomycetes; Xylariales; Xylariaceae.